UUGGUGGGGCAUCUCGCCACU
RNAcentral lists this unclassified non-coding RNA (21 nucleotides) under Mus musculus (house mouse). RNAcentral describes it as "oocyte_clustered_small_RNA5636". The record is from RNAcentral. Lineage: Eukaryota; Metazoa; Chordata; Mammalia; Rodentia; Muridae.